GCCUUCUUAGCUCAGUGGUAGAGCGUUGGUCUCGUAAACCAAAGGUCGAGAGAUCAAUCCUCUCAGGAGGCA
Non-coding RNA from Daphnia magna, 72 nucleotides. Lineage: Eukaryota; Metazoa; Arthropoda; Branchiopoda; Diplostraca; Daphniidae. The record is from the annotation of a RefSeq genome assembly.